CAAGUCCAUUUCUGCAUCCAUUUCGCGCAAAAACGAUUCCGACUCACUCCGACACUCUCCAGAUGUGUCGACCAGUCACUAAUACUGAAGCCAAUCCUAUCCGAAGCUCAGAAACACUACAGGGUGGUUGGUUGAACAGUAUAAUCAAACGGAUUGUAGGGACUGAGAUUUUGACAGUGCAAUUAAACUCUCUGUUGAUGAUGUUUAUGUGUGUAAUUUAAUUACAUAAGCACUCGUCAAGUUUCAGGAGAAUAUGAGCUAGAAUGGAGAAGUUACGCGAUUAUUAGUUUCACUUAAGUGAAUAGUAACUCCGAUUUUCCGGAGAAGCCAAGGAGUAGAGUUGGCUUUCGGCGCGUAUCGGACUCCGUUCAUAGCGAUCCAAUAGCUCGUUUUGAACGGUUUAGCUAUUCUGGAACCAAUGGCACUGACGGAUUUUAGAUCUGAUGUACGGUUUUCGAGAAAAUCUAAAAUUACAUGUUUCUUAUGUAAUUGUGCAUCAUUUUGGCCUUUUGGAGAGAGAAUGGAUUUCGUCGUGAAUCGGAGAUCAAAUCUGACGAAACGAAAUGCUAGAUUCGAUGCCUCGACGUGCUGAACGCGUUGGCGUGAUCCGAUCGGAAAUCCGAUGGACGGAUCUUUGGGAAUUGCAAUAAGUUCGCUAAGGGGUCGAGAGUGGAAAAUCGGGAAAUUCGCAAAAGUCGUAUUAUUUUAUGUACCGAAUUGCACGAGAUCGAAUAUGGAGGUGCGAAUACGCGAUUGUUACCCACUAUGAAGGGCUAGGUAUGAAAUACCAAGCUUCGGUGGACUUUUGUGCAAAAUUGCACUCUGUAUACAAUGUGCAUCUAGGGUUUCUAUGCAUGAAACCCAAGAUCUACUCGACCCAGCGCCCCAUCUGUGCCCUAGCCGCCAUCUGCAGGCCCAUGCUCUAGCAGUGUGCGCACCCCGGCCGUCGGCGAGCUUCCCCGGCCGCCGGAAUUGCUUGGUCAACCUCUUUCCUCCACCUUGCCACCACCCCUUCGGCCUUCGACAUCAGAGAAGGUCCAAGACACCCUAGGAAGCCUUUCCCUCGGCCGAGACCCUUUCCCGGCGCAGUCCCCGCCGGCCUCCGCCGUCCCCGUGCCACGCCGGAGCUGCCCGAACUCCCUGCGGCCAGCAGCAGUCACCCAGGUCGAGCCUGGGUGAUCCCUGCCUCCGCGCGCCACCGCCGUUCCCCAUCGGUCGCGCCGCCCUCCGGUGACCUCCGGCGUGCCCCCGCGCGCCAUCGCCGCCGCUCCCGACCCCGCCGGCCGCCGCUCUCCCUCUCUGCG
RNAcentral lists this long non-coding RNA (1304 nucleotides) under Ananas comosus (pineapple). Its description in RNAcentral is "long non-coding RNA (ACOM_LNC032469)". The record is from RNAcentral. Lineage: Eukaryota; Viridiplantae; Streptophyta; Magnoliopsida; Poales; Bromeliaceae.